GCUAGUACAGGUGGUGCAUGGCUGUCGUCAGCUCGUGUCGUGAGAUGUUGGGUUAAGUCCCGCAACGAGCGCAACCUUACCCUUAGUGUUUCCCGAAGGAUUACCCUCUAAGGGGACUGCCCCGGACAACGGGGAGGAAGGUGGGGGAUGACGUCAAGUCCGCAUGCUCCUUACGUCUAGGGCUACACACGUCCUACAAUGGGGUCGACAGUGGGAUGCAAAGCCGCGAGGUGGAGCCAAUCCCCAAACGGCCUCUCAGUUCGGAUAGUAGUCUGCAACUCGACUACUUGAAGUCGGAAUCGCUAGUAAUGGCGGAUCAGCAUGCCGCCGUGAAUACGUUCCCGGGUCUU
This 350-nucleotide ribosomal RNA is filed under the name uncultured bacterium. Its description in RNAcentral is "bacterial SSU rRNA". It matches the Rfam family "Bacterial small subunit ribosomal RNA", at positions 1028 to 1382 of the family's 1533-position model. The record is from RNAcentral.